AAUGAACGCUGGCGGCAUGCCUAACACAUGCAAGUCGAACGAAGCCUUCGGGCUUAGUGGCGCACGGGUGCGUAACGCGUGGGAAUCUGCCCUUGGGUUUGGGAAUAACAGUUAGAAAUGACUGCUAAUACCAAAUGAUGUCGCAAGACCAAAGAUUUAUCGCCCAAGGAUGAGCCCGCGUAAGAUUAGCUAGUUGGUGAGGUAAAAGCUCACCAAGGCGACGACUUUAGCUGGUCUGAGAGGAUGAUCAGCCACACUGGGACUGAGACACGGCCCAGACUCCUACGGGAGGCAGCAGUGGGGAAUAUUGGACAAUGGGCGAAAGCCUGAUCCAGCAAUGCCGCGUGAGUGAUGAAGGCCUUAGGGUUUGUAAAGCUCUUUCAACGGUGAAGAUAAUGACGGUAACCGUAGAAGAAGCCCCGG
RNAcentral lists this ribosomal RNA (423 nucleotides) under uncultured bacterium. Its description in RNAcentral is "bacterial SSU rRNA". It matches the Rfam family "Bacterial small subunit ribosomal RNA", at positions 29 to 496 of the family's 1533-position model. The record is from RNAcentral.